This 530-nucleotide ribosomal RNA is filed under the name Fomitopsis tropica. RNAcentral describes it as "SSU rRNA". It matches the Rfam family "Bacterial small subunit ribosomal RNA", at positions 432 to 942 of the family's 1533-position model. The record is from RNAcentral. Lineage: Eukaryota; Fungi; Basidiomycota; Agaricomycetes; Polyporales; Fomitopsidaceae.
GCUAACUGAAAUCAUAAAUUGAUUCAUAGUCAAUGUGAUACAGUAAGGGAAAAUAAUGAUAUUACUUUACUUAAAGUGUUGUCAAAUUCUGGUGCCAGAAGACUCGGUAACGCCAGUAACGCGAACGUUAGUCCUCAUUAUCAGGCGUAAAGGGUUUGUAGGCAGCUCUUGAAAAAAAUUUAAUUUUAAUGUUUUAUGUGUUUUAGCAAAAAUCUUAAGUUUCUAAAGAGCUAGAAUCAAAUAGAAGUUAAAAAGUAUAAUGCUUAGAGAAGGGAUAAUAUCUGUAGAACCUAAGUGGAAUACUAAAGGUGUAAACAACUAACUAUAAAGGAUUGACGCUGAGAGACGAAGGGGAGGAUAGGGAUUAGGAUUAGAUACCCAGGUACCCCUCUCUGUAAACGAUGAAUGGUAGUUAUUAGUGUAAUGCUGGUGACGAUGCUAACGCGAUAACCAUUCCGCCUUGGGAGUACGACUGCAAAGUUGAAAACAAAAAAAUUAGUCGGUCUCGGAGCAAACGAAGUGAAGCAUGU